Molecule: ribosomal RNA, 548 nt
Filed under: Conus locumtenens
Lineage: Eukaryota; Metazoa; Mollusca; Gastropoda; Neogastropoda; Conidae
Description: partial 12S ribosomal RNA
Source: RNAcentral
AACCAAUGAAUUUAGUCAUUCUUUACGGUAAAAAGACAGUUAAGCAAUGUAGAUGAUCAUCAGAUCUUUAGUGCAGAAGUAAAAUUCAUAUACUAGUAGUUAUAUCGGAUAUGGUUUAUAGGGUGCUGAAUCUGUGAUAGCUUUAAGGGAAACUGGGAUUGGAUACCCCAUUAUUUUUAGUUGUAAAUUUAAUUUAUGUUUACCAGAGUACUACGAACAAAAAGUUUAAAACUCAAAGGGCUUGGCGGUGUUUUAGACCUCUCAGGGGAACCUGUCUCAUAAUCGACAAUCCACGUUAGACCUAACCUUUUAUAGCAAUACAGUUUGUAUACCGUCGUCGUCAGGUAACUUCUUAAAAUAUAGUAGUUAGCUCGAAAAUUAGAUUAAUUAAAACGUCAGAUCAAGGUGCAGCUAAUGAAAAGGUGAGGAUGGGUUACAAUUACAGAUUUGUAAUUAUGGAAAAAUACCUGGAAAUAAAGUAUUAUUAAAGGAGGACUUGAAAGUAAUUCUAAUUAUAUAAAUAGGAUGAAUAAGGCCCUGAAACGUGC